Zalophus californianus (California sea lion) is the source of this 141-nucleotide small nuclear RNA. Its record names the gene U4. It matches the Rfam family "U4 spliceosomal RNA". Rfam says of the family: U4 small nuclear RNA (U4 snRNA) is a component of the major U2-dependent spliceosome. The structure of U4 snRNA from yeast and human has been reported. U4 snRNA presents a k-turn RNA motif in the 5p-SL related to recognition of Snu13 protein. NCBI's taxonomy places the organism in Eukaryota, Metazoa, Chordata, Mammalia, Carnivora, Otariidae. The record is from Ensembl.
AGCUUUGCACAAUAGCAGUAUUGUAGCCAAUGAGGUUUAUCCGAGGCACGAUCAUUGCUGAUUAAAGGAAUGAUGGAAAAUUUCAUUAGCAAGGGACAUAUUAAACAGCAUCUUUCAAUAAAUUCAGUAAAGAUAAAUAUA